UACGGGGGGGGCAAGCGUUGUUCGGAAUUACUGGGCGUAAAGGGCUCGUAGGUGGCCAACUAAGUCAGACGUGAAAUCCCUCGGCUUAACCGGGGAACUGCGUCUGAUACUGGAUGGCUUGAGUUUGGGAGAGGGACGCGGAAUUCCUGGUGUAGCGGUGAAAUGCGCAGAUAUCAGGAGGAACACCGGUGGCGAAGGCGGAUCUCUGGGCCUGUUCUGACGCUGAGGCGCGAAAGCUAGGGGAGCGAACAGG
This 253-nucleotide ribosomal RNA is filed under the name uncultured bacterium. Its description in RNAcentral is "partial 16S ribosomal RNA". It matches the Rfam family "Bacterial small subunit ribosomal RNA", at positions 524 to 776 of the family's 1533-position model. The record is from RNAcentral.